Molecule: ribosomal RNA, 459 nt
Filed under: uncultured bacterium
Lineage: Bacteria
Description: bacterial SSU rRNA
Rfam family: Bacterial small subunit ribosomal RNA
Source: RNAcentral
UGGAGGCAGCAGUGAGGAAUAUUGGACAAUGGGCGAAAGCCUGAUCCAGCAACGCCGCGUGGGUGACGAAGGCCUUCGGGUCGUAAAGCCCUGUGGGGAGGAACGAAUGAGUCCAGUUUAAUAAACUGGGAAGUUGACGGUACCUCCUUAGCAAGCACCGGCUAACCACGUGCCAGCAGCCGCGGUAAUACGUGGGGUGCGAGCGUUGUUCGGAAUUACUGGGCGUAAAGCGCGUGUAGGCGGCCUGCUAAGUCUGGUGUGAAAUCCCUGAGCUUAACUCAGGAAUUGCAUUGGAAACUGGUAGGCUUGAGUCCAGAAGAGGGUGGUGGAAUUCCUGGUGUAGAGGUGAAAUUCGUAGAUAUCAGGAGGAACACCGGUGGCGAAGGCGGCCACCUGGGCUGGUACUGACGCUGAGACGCGAAAGCGUGGGGAGCAAACAGGAUUAGAUACCCUGGUAGC